Molecule: ribosomal RNA, 485 nt
Filed under: uncultured bacterium
Lineage: Bacteria
Description: bacterial SSU rRNA
Rfam family: Bacterial small subunit ribosomal RNA
Source: RNAcentral
GACGAACGCUGGCGGCGUGGAUUAGGCAUGCAAGUCGAACGGUAUCAUCCUUCGGGGGUGAGAGAGUGGCGAACUGGUGAGUAACACGUAGGUUAUCUACCCUCAAGACGGGGACAACCCAGGGAAACUUGGGCUAAUACCGGAUGUGAGCAACUUUAGUUGUUUGAAAGGUGGCGUAAGCUGUCGCUUGGGGAUGAGCCUGCGUCCUAUUAGUUAGUUGGUGAGGUAACGGCUCACCUAGACAAUGAUAGGUAGGCGGCCUUAACGGGUGGUCGCCCACACUGGGAUUGAGAUACGGCCCAGACUCCUACGGGAGGCAGCAGUCGAGAAUAGUCUACAAUGGUCGGAAGACUGAUAGUGCGACGCCGCGUGAACGAUGAAUCCCUUCGGGGUGUAAAGUUCUUUUAUAUGUGAGCAGUGCUUCUUAUAUUAACAGUAUGGGGAGAGAGAUAUUAGCAUAUGAAUAAGCAACGGCUAACUCCGUG